Molecule: long non-coding RNA, 304 nt
Filed under: Lathyrus oleraceus (garden pea)
Lineage: Eukaryota; Viridiplantae; Streptophyta; Magnoliopsida; Fabales; Fabaceae
Description: Pisum sativum (pea) long non-coding RNA (PSAT_LNC000028)
Source: RNAcentral
UCAGGAAGUCAACUUUGCAAUGGCAGGUUCUGUUAAGAAAGGUCAAUGAUGAGUUUUUGGUUGCUUUGAAAAAAUUUAGAAUGAUGCAUGAAUGCACUUUUUUGUUUUUUUAUUCUUUUUUAUCCUUGACAGUGUGCCAAACUUGAUCUAACUUGUUGUUUGAGAACCACCAACCUAUUCUUUCUUUCAAUUCAACCUUACUUAACCUCUUCUUAAUGCUUUCAAACUCCUCUUUGACUUACUUACCCUUGUCUUACAAGUCUUUUUUUCUUUGCUUGGUACAAUUGAGUUGAGCUGGUAGCUG